CACGUAGGAGGCAAGCGUUAUUCGGAUUUACUGGGCGUAAAGCGCACGCAGGCGGUUCGAUAAGUUGGAUGUGAAAGCUCCUGGCUUAACUGGGAGAGGUCGUUCAAUACUAUCGGACUUGAGGAUGAGAGAGGGAGGUGGAAUUCCGGGUGUAGUGGUGGAAUGCGUAGAUAUUCGGAGGAACACCAGUGGCGAAAGCGGCCUCCUGGCUCAUAACUGACGCUCAUGUGCGAAAGCUAGGGUAG
Molecule: ribosomal RNA, 245 nt
Filed under: uncultured Leptolinea sp.
Lineage: Bacteria; Bacillati; Chloroflexota; Anaerolineae; Anaerolineales; Anaerolineaceae
Description: partial 16S ribosomal RNA
Rfam family: Bacterial small subunit ribosomal RNA
Source: RNAcentral